CCCGUGGCUGGUGGAGCAGGCGCCGUUGCUGGCGGCCGCCCGGCCCGAACGGUUCACCGCGCCGGUCAUCGGCUGAUCGCUCAGGCGUCGCGAGCCC
This 97-nucleotide transfer RNA is filed under the name Tersicoccus solisilvae. RNAcentral's name for it is "tRNA-Gly". The record is from RNAcentral. Lineage: Bacteria; Bacillati; Actinomycetota; Actinomycetes; Micrococcales; Micrococcaceae.